AAAAAAAAAAAAAUCAUCAUUUAGGGGACAAGAUCUCACAGAGAGAGGAAGAUAGAACGAUUAUCCAUUAGUACGAUAAGAAAAAUAUGUGAGACAAUAUAAACCAUACAAACACUCAUUCCAGAGUUACUGCUCUAGCAGAACCAUAGACAUUGACAACGAACGCAACUUCCACAUACAAUUAAACUUUUUCCAAAAUACCAAAAACAGAUUUGGAUGUGAGGGAAAGAAAACAAUGCUUAGCGAAAUGAAAGCACGACAUUUGAAAGGAAAUUAGAAUAAACAAGAUAUCUUUAAAAAAAUACAACAAGAUAUCUUUAAAAAAAUACAACAAGAUAUCUUUAAAAAAAUAC
Molecule: unclassified non-coding RNA, 353 nt
Filed under: Hevea brasiliensis (rubber tree)
Lineage: Eukaryota; Viridiplantae; Streptophyta; Magnoliopsida; Malpighiales; Euphorbiaceae
Source: RNAcentral